RNAcentral lists this ribosomal RNA (305 nucleotides) under uncultured bacterium. RNAcentral's name for it is "bacterial SSU rRNA". It matches the Rfam family "Bacterial small subunit ribosomal RNA", at positions 333 to 637 of the family's 1533-position model. The record is from RNAcentral.
UCAUGCCUACGGGACGCAGCAGUGGGGAAUAUUGCACAAUGGGCGCAAGCCUGAUGCAGCGACGCCGCGUGCGGGAUGGAGGCCUUCGGGUUGUAAACCGCUUUUGUUCAAGGGCAAGGCACGGUCUUUGGCCGUGUUGAGUGGAUUGUUCGAAUAAGCACCGGCUAACUACGCGCCAACAGCCGCGGUAAUACGUAGGGUGCAAGCGUUAUCCGGAUUAAUUGGGCGUAAAGGGCUCGUAGGCGGUUCGUCGCGUCCGGUGUGAAAGUCCAUCGCUUAACGGUGGAUCCGCGCCGGGUACGGGC